AAACACCAAAACACACUGCAUAUUUCUCACAAUUUAAAACUCUCUGAAUUCUCUCUUUCUCUGCUAUUUCUAUACUCUCUCAUUCUCUUAUUUGAGCACUCAAUUGCCUGAAAAGCCAAGAUUGAGUAAACUUGGGUUGUUUACUUCUACACUACUGGAUUCUAUUGCAUUGCUUACUUGGGUUUUCCUGCUGCUCUCUUUGCUACACACUGCCAUUCUCACACUGUAUUGUACACCACUACUCUCUCUCUGCUGCUCACACUAUCUGCUCACUUUGCUCUCUCUGUGCACUUUUGCUCAUUGCUCUUUGUGUUAUAUUUGUCUGCAACAUGUACGUUAUCUAUUUAGUAUACAACCCCCAAAACAAUAUGGUUCUCUUAAUCCUGCACUUCAUCUUGUUCCUUGUGUGCUUUUAUUUGUGGUUCUGUUGUUCUUAUUGUCACUAGUAUGCACUUUCUAGACUACUUAGCUUAGAUUAGGAUGUUCCCCUUACCCCCUUCCCUGUCUCAACGAAUGUUUACUUUUCCUUGUGCAUUACUACCAUGUGUCCAGGGCUGCAUUGCUACUUGAUUAGCCUAAAACCUCUUCCUGAGGUUAAGUGUAUUGGAGUUUGGUGCAGUAAGAACUGAACCCCUGUUGUUCUACAACUGUGUCUGAUUACCUGCCUUCACUAUGUUUGUAUGUGUGUGUAGGUCCCUGUACUUAUCUGUGCCCUUCCCGUUUGCCCCUGUUUGUGUGAUGCUAUGUUUUAAACUGGUUAGUACCAAUGGUUUCAAAAGAACUCCUUUCAAUUCUUUCAACUCUCUUAAACUAUUUUCUCAAACUGUCUCUCAAAUCUUUCUGCUCUUUUCUUAAAUUGACUCUCAAUUGUUUUAAACUCUCUCAAUCCUAUCACAACUUCACUAUUCUUAGAACAGUAGGUUUUGCCCCCUUAGUGUAGGCAUUGCCUUGGGAGCCCUUGAGCGCCAAUUGAACUUCGAUGCACAAGACUGGUACUUCCAUACUUGCACUUGUCUAAUAAUGAUACUUUGGGUGCUUGAUAUUGGCCAGGGGUUCAAAUGAACCCUUAGGGAACUUUGCCGCAUCCAAACCAUGGUAAAGGCUGUGAAACUCGAAAGAAGUGAGGUUGGAGAUGUUUGGCCUAGCUGGAGGCUCUCUAUAGAAUAACUUCUUAUUUUUCUUUUAUCACUGUUGUAUUUUAUGUAUCUGGGCUAUAAUAAUUUGUAAGAAUAUUGGGGUAUAUAGUGAAUAUGGG
This 1255-nucleotide long non-coding RNA is filed under the name Nicotiana benthamiana. Its description in RNAcentral is "long non-coding RNA (NBEN_LNC020544)". Lineage: Eukaryota; Viridiplantae; Streptophyta; Magnoliopsida; Solanales; Solanaceae. The record is from RNAcentral.